GGAUACGAAAACUAUUUUGAUAUAUGUGUUUUACAAAAUCUAACAAACGAUUUUGACUACACAAACAACGAUUACUUCUUCACGGUUUCAGGGUGUGUUCUUCCGGACUUAUCAGCUCCGUUAAAGGGUUUUCAUAAAAUUUAGGGUGGUGUUGGGGUGUUGUGAGUUUGAACCUUAUUUAGGUCAAUAUUAAAAUCAAAAAGAGAUAUAGACUGCAAAUUAUGCAUACGGAGUGUCUACUGAUGCACAUGUCAAUGUGGUCGUGUCAGAUUCGUGAUUGAUUGGUUGAGAUUAUUGGUACUUUGAGAUUUGGGGGUUUUCAAAAGCUGCUUAAUAGAAAGCAUCAAUCGAAAAACUCAUCAUACCCACAGCUCGGAGGUGGGUGACAUGAGAACUCUCUUCUGAUCUUACUAGCUGGAAAGUAUCUCUGCACACAUCGCACACUUCUUCGUUCCAGUUUAGUCAUCACUAGUUCCAAUAAAGGAUUGCCUUAUUGUAGGGGUGAGCUUACCUUGUCUAUAGUUGCAGUUGAUUAUCAGGGCCCAAGUUUAUCUGGCUCAAGUCAUAUACUGUGCGUGUCUGAGCCAAACGGGAAACUUUUGAGUUUGGCGUUGGCGCUUCGAGCAAAAUGGAAUUCCUCUGGUUCUAGAAUGUUUAUCUAACGCUGUCGGAAAUACUGUGAAUAAUGCACUGGGAGCCGUGUAUUAUCUUUGUAACUAUGUGAAUAAGUAAGAGAUCUUAAGCCUGAAGUCGCUGGGGGUAAAGCAUGUUGAGUAGGCACGUGUUUUGCGGUAAAGCGGCAGACUAGCAGGUGAACAUUGAAGAGGGAGAGGUUGAGUUCAAGUAAGUCAAAGCGGCUGGCCCACUGUUCACUGUUUUGAAGCUGUUCCUUUGUCUUCUGAAGCUUUUUGAACCACAAGGUAUCUUGCUCUUUUGAGUAACAAGAAUUUCUGAAUUAAUGUUGGACGGAGUUGUGUUAGAGAAGUUAAGAAAUUCUUGCUAUCUAUCAUCUAUGUUUGUACUUUGAGGGUCAUCAUAUUCGUCCUCCUCCACCUGAUUUAGGUCUAAAGAGCAUACCCAGUGGUGUUUUUUUUUUUGUUUUUGGAAAGUCCAAUAAAGAAAAACAAAGUUUGUGAUA
This is a long non-coding RNA of Papaver somniferum (opium poppy), 1138 nucleotides long. RefSeq lists it as uncharacterized. NCBI's taxonomy places the organism in Eukaryota, Viridiplantae, Streptophyta, Magnoliopsida, Ranunculales, Papaveraceae. The record is from RefSeq and is a predicted model, not a curated record. The transcript has 6 exons.